CACGCUUUCAUAAACCAUUUGUUAUCUUCUCAGCACGCGCACGGGGACGGUUGUCCUUCACUUGUCUGACAGAAGGAUAAGGAAAUCUUGGUUAAAAGACAGAUACGAUACUUGCUCCUUUAGGCUUCUGCUACUGACAUUGACCGAGUAAGAAACAGCUUUGGCGAGGCAAAAACGGAGAACGUAUGGCUGGUUAAGACGCCUUCUUUCAUCGAUGUAUUCUGAUAUCGCUGUGAAGCGAUUCCUUUGCUACUGUACAGAGACGCAGCGAGUGGAACUUGUAGCACUAUAGAUAUUUGCGCGCAAGGAAUAUCAGCUGGUGUUUGUAAAACAAUCUAGUUUACCUGCUUGGAUACCACUUGCUCGUUGAUCAAAUUCAGGGUCAUCAGCGCGGACUGUGUUAUUCUGGAUACAGUACCAGAGGAGCAAGAAGACCGCUUUUACAUCGCCGAGGGCUGAAUUGGAUGAAGAUCACCAGAUCAUACGGGAAGAGAGAGUUGGACCAAACCAUUGAUUAAGAGUUCAAUAAGGUAAGUUCA
Molecule: long non-coding RNA, 539 nt
Organism: Lineus longissimus
Lineage: Eukaryota; Metazoa; Nemertea; Pilidiophora; Heteronemertea; Lineidae
Exons: 3
Source: RefSeq, a predicted model, not a curated record